GAGCCCUGGAGUCCUACAAUAAAGGGCAACUUUGAUUUUACCUAGAUUACAAGGACUUCAAAAGCUGUGCAUGGGAGCCCAUGCCUGUAAUUCCAGCAUUCAGUAGUCAAUUCAGGACAAUGAAUCUGAGGCCACAUAGUAAGUCCAAGGCCAACUUGAAUUAGGCUAUCCCUGUGUCAAGGAAAACAAGGGCUGGUGAUAGCUCGGUGGUAGAGCACCUAGUAUUCCUAGCAUCACAGGAGGGGAAGUCAAACAAACAAAUAUAAGAACUCUAUCAAGCACCAACCCACACUCCCCUUUUUAGUAUUCUGAGAUUUCUUCCCAAGUUUGCAAUUUCCAGUGCCCACCGCAGGGCUCUGUCUACCCUCAGACUCUGAGCUGAUUAAUAAGGGGCCAGUGUGGUGCCCCCUCUUUUUCUCUCUUGCCUUCCCAGCUCCCAUCUGGUGUCUCGUGACUGGAAGGCUAGACAGCUCCUGUUUCUACCUCAGAUCAGCUAGGAGGGACAUAUGGCCUCCAAGAGUGUCCAAGAGCUAAAGCAGACACUCUCCAGGUCAGAGGUCAGCAAGAAGCAGUGGGCCAUGAAGCCCAUGGUUUCCUCCCCAGGACUCAUUCCCAGGAGGACAACUGAAGCUAUCGAAGACUAAAAUCCAAACCAAAGGCGGUCUGACUUCAGGAGGCCGCUUCACAGCAGGCCGUCUGUGGCUCCAUCUGAAUCCUGUUUAGACAACGGGAGCAUAAAUGCGCUUCCCUGCAAUCUUUCCAGCCGCUCAGCAAGUCACAUAAGCCCCUCUCUGAGGGAGCAGACAUUUUUCAUACCGUGAGUCAGACGCUUGUCUCAUCCGCUCCCUGUGGGGAGCCAAAAUAGACUCCCUCAAAGUCAUCGUUCCAUCUGCUACAAAAUGCUCCUUGUAAGGGCUGUCCGCUGGCCCUGGCCCAGCACCGCUUUACCCACAAACAUGAAUGACCUGGGGAAGUCCAACUUAGCAACUUCUGACGUUAUUUAUAUAGCACGAACAAACAUGGGAGAAAGAAGAGAACCUCUAAUUUCCUCUCUGGAAACCCUUUGCAGCGUCUGCUUCCCUCCUCCACACGUGGUAGAGGAAGCUCCAGGCUACUACACCAAUAGUCAGGCUGGGUGACAGGACCCCAGGAACACUGACUACUGCAGCAGUGACUGCAGAUGUGGGGAGCAGUUGUCCAGUGGCCAUUGUGUGGGCUCUUUGAAGUCUGUCUUUUAUUUGUUUUUCUGAUCCAGGGUCCCAUGUACCUGGGUUGGCCUCAAACUCAUCUAGACAACUGAGGACGGCCAUGAAUUUCUGCUCCUCUUGCCUCCACUGCACAGGCCACCAUGCCUGGUUUUUGUGGUACUAGGAUGGAACCAAAGGCUUCCUGCAUGUUAGGCCAGCAUUCCAACAACUGAGCUGCAUCUACAGCUCUGUGUCAUUUAUCUUAUUUGGUCCCCACCCCAGAAGUUGGCAAUAAUAGUCUUGCUUUACCAAAGAGGGAACUUGGGAUAGGCAUAAAUCAAACCAGAGCUUCUGCCCCCACAGUGCCUUGGUCUUAAGGGUCUCCCUUGACUAAAUGUCCCUGCAGUGGUGGAGACUGGUGUGUUAGAAUAGCUGCAGGUAUAACACACACAUGGCAGGUGGAGAUGGGGCUAAAGCCAGCCUGAGAUCUUCUGUCCUGGGCCUGCAUAAUGGAUGACUCUAGAAAACCCUCGGCUACCCUCAGUACCACAGUUCCCUUGUUAGUCCUGAACCAGAUGUGUCACGCUUUAGGACAUCUGUUCCCAAUUUCUCUCAAGUGAUGGCAUGGACCAUCGUAAACAAUCAGCCAGGGGAACUGUACCCGGCUCGUACAAGCGCCCCCUCAACUAGCUCCCUUCUACAAAGGACCCCAGAGAUUUGCUUUCCUAAGCUGCUUUCCACAUCCCUCCCUGAGAACCACCCACUCUCCACCCCAGAAACCGUCUAGUCCGUAUCCUUCCCUUUCCUGUUUGAUUUGCUCAAUUUGAGGAGCAUGGGCCUUGCUGCGCCUCUCCCAGGCCAGAGUGCUCAUGUAUCACGUGUGUCCUUCUUUGGGAGCAUGGCCUGUUUCUUAGUGACUCUUGUUUCUCUGUAAUUGCUACCCCGCCCUUCCCAUUUUUAUCUUCUUCCUUCUUUCUAUAUUCAUACUUUUUAAAAAAAUAUGAUCUUAAAAAAAUAAUAAUAACCAAGGAAACUAAUCUGGAAAAGUUUGUCUAGCUUAAACUUCGGAUCGUUCAAAGCCCUGGAGUCCAAGGGCAGCAGGUGGUAGCACAUCUGUGUGGGGACAAGCGCACUUGAAACCAGGAAGCAG
Molecule: long non-coding RNA, 2337 nt
Filed under: Mus musculus (house mouse)
Lineage: Eukaryota; Metazoa; Chordata; Mammalia; Rodentia; Muridae
Description: long non-coding RNA chr14:69685572-69687909
Source: RNAcentral